This is a non-coding RNA of Camellia sinensis, 182 nucleotides long. NCBI's taxonomy places the organism in Eukaryota, Viridiplantae, Streptophyta, Magnoliopsida, Ericales, Theaceae. The record is from RefSeq and is a predicted model, not a curated record.
CUGCAGGUGCUUAGUAGCAAAAGGAGAGGAGUCUAGUGAAUGUCACAGAUUUGCCAAAUAUUACCGGUCCCUUUGCCUAGGUGAAUGGCCAGGGAUAUGCAUAUGGUAUGAGAAGUUUCCAGAUCUCAAAUUCAGAGAUUUGUUUCUUACAUGAGAAAGCUGUGCAGGUCAGAAAUUUUUUG